UGUCAGCCCUUAUGCAACAAAAAUAUACUGCAGUAUAUUGGAAAAUAUCAUGUAAUAUAUUAGGCAAUAUAUUCCCAUAUAUCGGAUUUAAUAUUUAUAUUUCCCAAUAUAUUGUAAUAUAUGCAUAGAAAAUAUCAUGUAAUAUAUUAGGCAGUAUAUUCCCAUAUAUAGGAUUUCAUAUGUAUAUUUUCCAUUAUAUUGCAGUAUAUGAAUAGACCAUACAUGUAUAUAUUGAUACAAAAUAUAUUGUAACCAAGACCAAAAAGGGCACUAUGUUUUUCCAUGUAAUAGUUUGUCUUUAUAUGAUUUAAUAUACUGCAAUAUAUGCAGGGGCGUCGCUAGAUCCCUUUUACUGGGGCACAUGCCCCAGUGUAAAUCUUUUGUGUCCCGGUGUAAAUCUCAAGUUUAAAUUUUAGCAGUUAACUAGGGUAUUCCUAUACAAAGAUAAUCGCGGCAAAAACGGAUCUAUAUGCAAUGUAGUUACCCAAUUUACGCUUGUAAAAGCGACGAAGCAGUCGCAUUGACUCGUGCACACACGUAUCCAUGUCCAUGCACGUCUUUGCGUUCAUCUGCACACAACCGCAUUCAAAAGGUGACGCCAAGCGAGUUAGCUUAUGAAAACAUGACUAGACUAAAGUAAGUUUCUAAAUAAUAAUAAUAAUCUUAUUUUGACUCGAUCAUUAUUGGCUUCUUUAGAUGAACAUGUUUUGUGCAAAGCAGGGAAAGCGAAGCAGACAAGAGAGAUGAUGAGUUUUAAGGAGUACUCUACUCAGCACCGACUGCUUCAACCAGAAUGCGUGCCAAAGGCGAUGGAGCAUAAUGCUUGAGUAGGAAGCUGAGAUUCAGGCGCGAGGAGAGGACAGGACACAUAAGAGAGACUAGCAACAAGGAGGCUGAUAGGUCCUGACCUAUAGUCCUAACUCAUACUCCUAAUCAGUAGGUGGCGGUAAUGCACCUAAAAGUUGUUUGCUAACCACCAGUAAAACUCGAGAAGGAGACUGAUCGUUGGCAUGCUCUCAACCCAGGGAAACUUCAAGCUUUACAAGAUGCUGUUUUAAACCAGUUUCCACGGCCGAAGCUGAUGUUAGAAAAUCCAUCAACAGUAGAAUAUGCGAGCUAAGACACCAGGUGAAGUGCAAAAGCAUGGGUAUAUAAGUCAUUUAAAUCAGUGAAGAGCCAAGAUGGACUCCUAACCAGGAUAAAGGCCUGUUCUUUUGACAAUUUAUUUCUUUGCUUUUCCACGUUGCCAAAGCGCCUUGAAAGUUUGUUUAUUAUUUAUUUAUCUAUUAUUGUCUGUGCAUUUUGUUUAUAUUGUAUUUUUAACUGUAUAACGGCACUGCUGAAAGUUUGAAAUAAAUAGACCUUGGUAAUUUAAAUUGCUUUAAUUUAUAUUUUGUAUAUUUUCUGUUUUAUGUCACUCUUUUAAAAUGUAAUUUAUGUAAAUGUAAUGCAAGACAUUUAUGUAAUGUAAAGCAAAUCACAUUGUCUGACCAUGUGCAAAACCUCUUGUGGUUGUAAUAUGUCUGUUUAGCUCUCUACCUCAAAUUAGUUUUAGUACGUGUGCCUGAUUAAAAGAAAAUAAAG
Misgurnus anguillicaudatus (oriental weatherfish) is the source of this 1584-nucleotide non-coding RNA. The record is from RefSeq and is a predicted model, not a curated record. Lineage: Eukaryota; Metazoa; Chordata; Actinopteri; Cypriniformes; Cobitidae.